UACGUAGGGGGCUAGCGUUGUCCGGAUUUAUUGGGCGUAAAGAGCGUGUAGGCGGCCAGGUAGGUCUGGUGUGAAAACUCGAGGCUUAACCUCGAGAUGUCAUCGGAAACCAUUUGGCUAGAGGUCCGGAAGAGGAGAGUGGAAUUCCGUGGUGUAGCGGUGAAAUGCGCAGAUAUCAGGAAGAACACCAAUGGCGAAAGCAGCUCUCUGGGACGGUACUGACGCUGAGACGCGAAAGCGUGGGGAGCGAACAGG
RNAcentral lists this ribosomal RNA (255 nucleotides) under uncultured bacterium. RNAcentral describes it as "partial 16S ribosomal RNA". It matches the Rfam family "Bacterial small subunit ribosomal RNA", at positions 524 to 776 of the family's 1533-position model. The record is from RNAcentral.